UGCAGUCGAGCGGACUGAUGUGGAGCUUGCUCCAUGGAUGUCAGCGGCGGACGGGUGAGUAACACGUGGGUAACCUGCCUGGCAGACUGGGAUAACGCUUGGAAACGAGUGCUAAUACCGGAUGAUCUCUUGGACUGCAUGGUUCGAGAGUAAAAGGAGCUUUUGCUUCACUGCCAGAUGGACCCGCGGCGCAUUAGCUAGUUGGUGAGGUAACGGCUCACCAAGGCGACGAUGCGUAGCCACCUGAGAGGGUGACCGGCCACACUGGGACUGANACACGGCCCAGACUCCUACGGGAGGCAGCAGUAGGGAAUCUUCCGCAAUGGGCGCAAGCCUGACGGAGCAACGCCGCGUGAGUGAUGAAGGCCUUC
This 371-nucleotide ribosomal RNA is filed under the name uncultured Tumebacillus sp. RNAcentral's name for it is "bacterial SSU rRNA". It matches the Rfam family "Bacterial small subunit ribosomal RNA", at positions 56 to 419 of the family's 1533-position model. Lineage: Bacteria; Bacillati; Bacillota; Bacilli; Caryophanales; Alicyclobacillaceae. The record is from RNAcentral.